This 63-nucleotide transfer RNA is filed under the name Chirotenon longimanus. RNAcentral describes it as "tRNA-Thr". The record is from RNAcentral. Lineage: Eukaryota; Metazoa; Arthropoda; Insecta; Coleoptera; Anthribidae.
GUUUUAAUAAUUUAUUUUAAAAUAUUGGUCUUGUAAACCAACAAUAGGUCUUCCUUUAAAACA